RNAcentral lists this ribosomal RNA (500 nucleotides) under uncultured bacterium. RNAcentral's name for it is "partial 16S ribosomal RNA". It matches the Rfam family "Bacterial small subunit ribosomal RNA", at positions 30 to 523 of the family's 1533-position model. The record is from RNAcentral.
AUUGAACGCUGGCGGAAUGCUUUACACAUGCAAGUCGAACGGCAGCACGGACUUCGGUCUGGUGGCGAGUGGCGAACGGGUGAGUAAUGUAUCGGAACGUGCCCAGUCGUGGGGGAUAACGUAGUGAAAAUUACGCUAAUACCGCAUACGAUCUAUGGAUGAAAGCGGGGGAUCGCAAGACCUCGCGCGAUUGGAGCGGCCGAUAUCAGAUUAGGUAGUUGGUGGGGUAAAGGCCCACCAAGCCAACGAUCUGUAGCUGGUCUGAGAGGACGAACAGCCACACUGGAACUGAGACACGGUCCAGACUCCUACAGGAGGCAGUAGUGGGGAAUUUUGGACAAUAGGCGAAAGCCUGAUCCAGCCAUUCCGCGUGCAGGAUGAAGGCCCUCAGGUUGUAAACUGCUUUUGUACAGAACGAAAAGGUUUCUACUAAUACUAGGAGCUCAUGACGGUACUGUAAGAAUAAGCACCGGCUAACUACGUGCCAGCCGCCGCAGUAA